RNAcentral lists this transfer RNA (58 nucleotides) under Sundasciurus everetti (Bornean mountain ground squirrel). RNAcentral's name for it is "Dremomys everetti tRNA-Ser". The record is from RNAcentral. Lineage: Eukaryota; Metazoa; Chordata; Mammalia; Rodentia; Sciuridae.
AGAAAGUAAUGCAAGAACUGCUAACUCAUGCUACCGCGCCUACACUCACGGCUUUCUU